ACAUUUCUGAAGCCCUGCCACCUGCCAUCCCUCGUAGGGAUUCAAGUCCAAAUAGCCAGAGCCUCUGGCAGAGGAGAUGGGGGAAACUGAGGUAGCCCUAGGGUCGUCCUCUCAAGUCAAGCUGCCUGGAGACUGUAGCAGCUACGGUUGAGGCUGCUCAGGAAGCACAGACCGCCCCAGACAGCAGCUGAAGCUGAAGACUCCAGGGCCAGGCCAUCGGGUCAGGCGUUCAGGAACGCGAAAGCUGACGGCUCUGAGCCAGGAGGCUCUUUGGCUGCUGUCCUCUGGGACGAUGUUUGGGGGGCGCGGGGAGCAUCAGGACAGGACUCUCCCGCAGCAGCCCCAGCCCCCACCAGGCGGGGACAGGCCACCAGCUCCAUGCCAGCAAACAAGGAGUCGCGGCUCCACGCACAGCUGCUGGGGCCUCUCUUUGGGCUGUCCGUGCCCCCUGGGAUCCGUUCAGGUCUCCACCGCCUGCUUUCUGCCAGUCUGGCCUCGGCCUCGCUGGGGUCUCCGGGGGCUGGAAUGGGGGAGGCAUCUGGGGGUGGGGUGGGCACAGGGCUGGACGGCAUCCCAGAUGAGGGAGCAGGGCUCCGGGACGAGACCGGGGUUGAACUCAGAGGCUGCAGGAAGACCUGGCUCCCAGGGAGAGGCACAGCGUCGGUCAGCAGACAAAUGGACACCCUCCCCGUCAUAACCCGCCAGGCACUGCCGGAGGGAGUGAACACGUGGCCUGGCACAUCUGGGCAUUUCCAACUGUUGGACGCAGGGUUCUUCCAGCAUGCCCGUUUUAGAAACCCCACUAUGAGGUUCGCCUGCGGUGGUGCGAACCCCAGGCUCACUCGUCGCUCUGACUGAAAGCCAGGGAGAAAACAGGAAGAAAGAAGCUGGGAAUGCCCACAGGCAGAGGGAAGGUGCCAGGGCCUGGCGGCCGGGAGAGGCCUCCCCGUGUGAUUCCAGUGGCCGCCAGGCAGUUCAGAGUGUUCAAGUGCACAGAGAUGAAUGGAACCAUUUCUGCCCUCCGGAGCUUGGGAGUUGAGCAUGAGCUGUGUCAUGGGUGGCAAACUGCAUGUGCAGUCAGGGAGGGCUUCCUGGAAGAGGUCACCCGGCUCCCGGCUGGCCCCUGAAUGGCUGUCGCUGCCGGAAUGACUGCCCGAGUCCGAGACCCUGCUCAGGUCGCUGUUCUGGGAGGAAUUCUGAGAGCUGGGGCCGCUGUCCAGCUCAUCCCAGCCCCCUCCGGCCUGCCCAGGCUGAUGCCUCACAGCUGGAGGAAACAGGACAGCCGGUGAGAUCCCUGGGGCUUCAGGCCAGCCCCAUGCCCACCUCCCGGGGCCCUGGACCAGGAGGCCUCGGGGGCUGAGUCCUGAGCUGAGGAUGGGUGGCCACCUUGGCUCCAGCUUCAGCAAACACCAGCCCCAUGGGCAUGUGCUUCCGCCGCGGGUCCCACCCCUC
Long non-coding RNA from Homo sapiens (human), 1452 nucleotides. RefSeq annotates it as TEPSIN antisense RNA 1. NCBI's taxonomy places the organism in Eukaryota, Metazoa, Chordata, Mammalia, Primates, Hominidae. The transcript is spliced from 4 exons. The record is from RefSeq and is marked validated.